This 406-nucleotide long non-coding RNA is filed under the name Elaeis guineensis (African oil palm). RNAcentral describes it as "long non-coding RNA (EGUI_LNC071676)". Lineage: Eukaryota; Viridiplantae; Streptophyta; Magnoliopsida; Arecales; Arecaceae. The record is from RNAcentral.
GAGUUUAGUCGGUUGUUGUAAAGUCGGAGUUGUCCGUCAUAGAGUCGGAGUUGUCCAUCAUAGAGUUGAUGUCAGCGGCCGAUUGAUUUGAGUCAUGAUUCGAUUGACUUACCCCAACAAGAGCCUUCUCCAUUGCCUUUGUCGGUGCUGCUCUUAGAUCCGAAGUCACAUUGUCAGCCAUGAGAGUGAGAGCUUCCGAAGCCACACUGUCAGCCAUGAGGGUUAUAAAAGAGACUUACAGAUUGAAAAAGAAAAAUAAAGAGAUGGUGGCAUUUUUGUGUGAGGAACAAACUUUGAUGGAAAUUCCUCUGCCUUCCCUUGAAAUGCGAAAUUCCUGAGAUGACAUCUUUAAAACAAACUAUAUAUUCUAAUAUUCUGUCGAAAAACUAUAUAUUCGAGUGCAUCC